GAUCAUGGCUCAGGAUGAACGCUGGCGGCGUGCUUAACACAUGCAAGUCGAACGAAGCACUUAAGAUUGACUCUUCGGAUGAUUUCUUUUGUGACUUAGUGGCGGACGGGUGAGUAACGCGUGGGUAACCUGCCUCACACAGGGGGAGUAACAGUUAGAAAUGACUGCUAAUACCGCAUAACCCGACUAGGAUCGCAUGAUCCAGACGGAAAAGAAUUUAUCGGUGUGAGAUGGACCCGCG
This 241-nucleotide ribosomal RNA is filed under the name uncultured bacterium. RNAcentral describes it as "partial 16S ribosomal RNA". It matches the Rfam family "Bacterial small subunit ribosomal RNA", at positions 15 to 235 of the family's 1533-position model. The record is from RNAcentral.